CGCCUCUUGCAAAAUUAAUGAAUAAGAGGUCUCGCCUGCCCUGUGACUAUAUGUUUAACGGCCGCGGUAUUCUGACCGUGCGAAGGUAGCGUAAUCACUUGUCUUUUAAAUGGAGACCUGUAUGAAUGGCAUAACGAGGGCUUAACUGUCUCCUCUUUCAAGUCAAUGAAAUUGAUCUUCCCGUGCAGAAGCGGGAAUAAGUACAUAAGACGAGAAGACCCUAUGGAGCUUUAGAUAAUAAGGCAGACCAUGUUAAACACCCUCCUACAAGAGACUAAACUAAGUGUCACCUGCCCGAAUGUCUUUGGUUGGGGCGACCGCGAGGAAAUAAAAAACCCCCGUGUAGAAAGAGAGCACCACUACUCUCCAAACCAAGAGCUCCCGCUCUAAUAAACAGAACAUCUGACUUAUAAGAUCCGGCAAUGCCGAUCAACGGACCGAGUUACCCUAGGGAUAACAGCGCAAUCCCCUUCUAGAGCCCAUAUCGACAAGGGGGCUUACGACCUCGAUGUUGGAUCAGGACAUCCUAAUGGUGCAGCCGCUAUUAAGGGUUCGUUUGUUCAACGAUUAAAGUCCU
RNAcentral lists this ribosomal RNA (577 nucleotides) under Coradion melanopus (twospot coralfish). Its description in RNAcentral is "partial 16S ribosomal RNA". It matches the Rfam family "Bacterial large subunit ribosomal RNA", at positions 1817 to 2597 of the family's 2925-position model. Lineage: Eukaryota; Metazoa; Chordata; Actinopteri; Chaetodontiformes; Chaetodontidae. The record is from RNAcentral.